This 449-nucleotide ribosomal RNA is filed under the name uncultured bacterium. Its description in RNAcentral is "partial 16S ribosomal RNA". It matches the Rfam family "Bacterial small subunit ribosomal RNA", at positions 29 to 523 of the family's 1533-position model. The record is from RNAcentral.
AAUGAACGCUGGCGGCAGGCCUAACACAUGCAAGUCGAACGGAUCCUUCGGGAUUAGUGGCGGACGGGUGAGUAACGCGUGGGAACAUACCCAAAGGUACGGAAUAGCCUCGGGAAACUGGGAGUAAUACCGUAUGUGCUCGAAAGAGGAAAGAUUUAUCGCCUUUGGAUUGGCCCGCGUUGGAUUAGGUAGUUGGUGGGGUAAUGGCCUACCAAGCCGACGAUCCAUAGCUGGUUUGAGAGGAUGAUCAGCCACACUGGGACUGAGACACGGCCCAGACUCCUACGGGCGGCAGCAGUGGGGAAUCUUAGACGCUGGGGGAAAACCUGAUCUAGCCAUGCCGCGUGAUCGAUGAAGGCCUUAGGGUUGUAAAGAUCUUUCAGGUGGGAAGAUAAUGACUGUACCACCAGAAGAAGCCCCGGCUAACUCCGUGCCAGCCGCCGCAGUAA